Molecule: long non-coding RNA, 5533 nt
Filed under: Sorghum bicolor (sorghum)
Lineage: Eukaryota; Viridiplantae; Streptophyta; Magnoliopsida; Poales; Poaceae
Description: long non-coding RNA (SBIC_LNC017634)
Source: RNAcentral
GUCGCCUCCACCUCGGGCUCGAGAGAGAGGAUGGGGAGGUCGUGCUAUUUUUUUAUGAGGAGUGGGGAGAGCGCUAGAUGUUUUUGUGGAGGCCGACGUGGGCUGCUCGUGGCCACACAAAGGGAAUCAGCAAAUCAGGCUAAGAUGGACCAAUGGGAGGGGGAGGAGGUGAGGUGGCAUUGAGGUGCACCAAUGGCAGAUUUGAGGAGACGUGGCUGGGGUAGCGACACGGGGAGCAACUUAGAAUUGUUAGGGUAAAUUAGUCCAAAGAUUUUAGAUAUAAAAAUAAGAAAUUCGCAAGAUAAUAGAAGUGUAGUAGUUUCGAAAUUUAUACUAUACAAUCCGCAGUAAUUGAAAACUAUCUGGAAUUAUUUGCAUGCUAGUCGCAUGGAAAAACUAACCGUUUCAUGAAGUCCACAAUAUUAGCAAGUCCGCAAAGAAUAUUUAACUUAGAAGCCUAUAUCCAUUGCACUGUUGUCACCACAUCCAGAUGGAUUAUUUUCUUAGCACUAUAAGUUGCUAGAACCUUGGGCACAAAAAGAUUUUUCACUCACCUAUGCAGGGAAGACUUGUUUUCAUUGUUCUCUAGGAUGAUGUGCUCGAGUAUAUUGCUAUGAAUGUCCAUGACAUGUGUGACUUAGCAGAGGAGGAACCAUUCCAAUUGUCAUGUUGCCAAUGUUGUAGAGUCUUCUCAAAUCAAGAGCACCAGUCAUACUGAACACCGCCAACCAACAGGCCAGCUAUAUUCACCUAAAAAUUUAUUAUGAAUUGCAUACGAGGCAAAGAAAACUAACCUAACAUUCAUAACAGAAUACCAAACGAGGAAAGGAUCCUUACUCAGAAUUCAGAAAAACAAGAAAAUGGGACAAUCUCUCGGUGUUGAAUGGCCAGAUAGACCUGUUUUUAAUUCGAGUGUUCCAUCCUGGCUCUCAUUGCAUAACCAUAUAUAUAGUUUCCAUUGCGGCACCUAGGUCUGUCACUGUUAUCUAAAAAUCAAAACCGUUACUCCGAAAGGGAAGAUCAAAUUUUAUCGAAUUCCUAUACUGAGUAUAUGGUUAGUAGGUCAGAUUAGAUCCUACUAGGAUAAGUAUAGGAGCUGCUGACAUAUUUGUAGGUCCUCUGUUGUGCAUACCCUGCUUCAAGGCAACAAAGGGGAAAAACAUGAGUGAGCCUAGCAGCAGACAUAACACAUAAUCAGAAUGAGAAAGCACUUCACAUGUGAAAAAAGGAAAGAUAGAAAAAGGGUCAUGUGGAUGCCUAUGGAUAAUAUGUAUUGAUUACUUAUCAUUGAUGGGAACAAACAGAUUUCUAAUCAAUUGAAAUUUAUUUUGCACAAGAGGCUAAUGCUAUCCUAAUCCACUCCAUUCUGUGCAUCUAGAAAAGACAUGAAAGAAAGACACAACCGCCAAAAGGAAAGAAACUCACCAACACACCUUCCAAUCUUAUUAGUCUACGCAGAUCCUCUUGGAUGAGGUCCUACAUCACAUAGCAUAGAGAAAAGGAGCAUCAGCAAGCAUGAAGCAGAAGGAAGAUGUGCUCCAAAUCCCCAAGAACACAAUAUUGAAGAAUAGACAGAAAGAAGUGUGUGGGUAAGAUCAUGUAACCCUGUUGUUUCCAUCAGGUAGAAAUAGUGUACAUAGUAUUUUAAAGUUGGAAAUGCAGAUGUUUAAUUAUUGUACUGUAAAAUAUGUAAAUUUAAGAGUAAGGAAAAGCUGAAGUUUAUUACCUGACCGAAGAUGUGUAAGCAUGUCUAGAUACAUGUGUUGGUUGUCUAACACUGAAAAAUAGAAAUAAUCUAGGAAAUAAAAUACGAUAAUGCUUUUAGAUUUGCAGUUGUGUAAUGAAGAUGUGUAAGCAUGUGUACAUACAUGUCUUGGUUGGCUAACACUGACAAAUAGAAAUAAUCGAAGAAAUAAAAUACGAUAAUGCUUUUAGAUUUGCAACUGUUUAAUCAGCAUUAGACUGCAAAUAUUACCCGGGUGAGAAAUUCUGCAUGAGUCAUGUUUAGACUAUUUGAGCAGAACCUCCAAAGAACCCUACAUCCUCAAGCACAAGCGUCGUGUAUCAGUGAAAGGAAAUUCCAAAAAAUCAUGAAGGUACAAAUGAAGCCAAAAAUGUUACAGGGCAGCAUCACCUAGAGAGCACGGACCUAGCAGAGGGGCAUAGAAGGCAAGCAAACCACAGUGCACUGUGUUACAUCGGGCUGGACUAUGGGCAACCACCCGUGCUUGCGUGCCGGCCGAUUCGGAGCUGAGGUCAGAACUAUGCCGGUAUGUUACCCACACCAGGGUCGCUGCCACCUACGGCGGGGCAAUACCCUAGGUCACCUCAUCGCCACCGCCACCGCUGCCAUGUUGGGGGCUCGCUGUCGCUCCGUACGUCACAUGUGGAGGUGUGGAGGAGAACAAGGGCCAUGGUCAUCGUGCCGAGUGGCAGCCAAUGUGGAGGUCCACUUGUGCCACCGGCCUAUCCGCAUCGGAAGGGAUGGGGAGAGAGAGAGAAUGGAAGGGAAGAGACUGUCGAGACUUAUACGCACGGUGGACGGAGAAGGAGGGGGCUAGCGCUGCGCUGGCUUGGGGCGUCGUCGUGCCGUCGCCCCUGGCUCGGCCGCACCGCCCGUGGGGCGCUGUCGUCUCGUCGCCUCCACCUCGGGCUCGAGAGAGAGGAUGGGGAGGUCGUGCUAUUUUUUAUGAGGAGUGGGGAGAGCGCUAGAUGUUUUUGUGGAGGCCGACGUGGGCUGCUCGUGGCCACACAAAGGGAAUCAGCAAAUCAGGCUAAGAUGGACCAAUGGGAAGGGGAGGAGGUGAGGUGGCAUUGAGGUGCACCAAUGGCAGAUUUGAGGAGACGUGGCUGGGGUAGCGACACGGGGAGCAACUUAGAAUUGUUAGGGUAAAUUAGUCCAAAGAUUUUAGAUAUAAAAAUAAGAAAUUCGCAAGAUAAUAGAAGUGUAGUAGUUUCGAAAUUUAUACUAUACAAUCCGCAGUAAUUGAAAACUAUCUGGAAUUAUUUGCAUGCUAGUCGCAUGGAAAAACUAACCCUGUCAUGAAGUCCACAAUAUUAGCAAGUCCGCAAAGAAUAUUUAACUUAGAAGCCUAUAUCCAUUGCACUGUUGUCACCACAUCCAGAUGGAUUAUUUUCUUAGCACUAUAAGUUGCUAGAACCUUGGGCACAAAAAGAUUUUUCACUCACCUAUGCAGGGAAGACUUGUUUUCAUUGUUCUCUAGGAUGAUGUGCUCGAGUAUAUUGCUAUGAAUGUCCAUGACAUGUGUGACUUAGCAGAGGAGGAACCAUUCCAAUUGUCAUGUUGCCAAUGUUGUAGAGUCUUCUCAAAUCAAGAGCACCAGUCAUACUGAACAACACCAACCAACAGGCCAGCUAUAUUCACCUAAAAAUUUAUUAUGAAUUGCAUACGAGGCAAAGAAAACUAACCUAACAUUCAUAAUAGAAUACCAAAUGAGGAAAGGAUGCUUACACAGAAUUCAGAAAAACAAGAAAAUGGGACAAUCUCUGGUUGUUGAAUGGCCAGAUAGACCUGUUUUUAAUUCGAGUGUUCCAUCCUGGCUCUCAUUGCCAUAUCCAUAUAUAUAGUAUCUAUUGCGGCACCUAGGUCUGUCCCUGUUAUCUAAAAAUCAAAACGGUUACUCCGAAAGGGAAGAUCAAUUUUUAUUAAAUUCCUAAACUGAGUAUAUGGUUAGUAGGUCAGAUUAGAUCCUACUGGGAUAUGUAGGAGCUGCUGACAUAUUUGUAGGUCCUCUGUUGUGCAUACCCAGCUUCAAGGCAACAAAGGGGAAAAACAUGAGUGAGCCUAGCAGCAGACAUAAUACAUCAGAAUGAGAAAGCACUUCACAUGUGAAAAAGGAAAGAUAGAAAAAGGGUCAUGUGGAUGCCUAUGGAUAAUAUGUAUUGAUUACUUAUCAUUGAUGGGACCAAACAGAUUUCUAAUCAAUUGAAAUUUAUUUUGCACAAGAGGCUAAUGCUAUCCUGAUCCACACCAUUCUGUGCAUCUAGAAAAGACAUGAAAGAAAGACACAACCGCCAAAAGGAAUGAAACUCACCAACACACCUUCCAAUCUUAUUAGUCUACGCAGAUCCUCUUGGUUGAGGUCCUACAUCACAUAACAUAGAGGAAAGGAGCAUCAGCAAGGAUGAAAUAGAGGGAAGAUGUGCUCCAAAUCCCCAAGAACACAAUAUUGAAGAAUAGACAGAAAGAAGUGUGUGGGUAAGAUCAUGUAACCCUGUUGUUUCCAUCAGGUAGAAAUAGUGUACAUAGUAUUUUAAAGUUGGAAAUGCAGAUGUUUAAUUAUUGUACUGUGAAAUAUGUAAAUUUAGGAGUAAGGAAAAGCUGAAGUUUAAUACCUGACCCAAGAUGUGUAAACAUGUCUAGAUACAUGUGUUGGUUGUCUAACACUGAAAAUUAGAAAUAAUCUAGGAAAUAAAAUACGAUAAUGCUUUUAGAUUUGCAGUUGUUUAAUGAAGAUGUGCAAGCAUGUGUACAUACAUGUGUUGGUUGGCUAACACUGACAAAUAGAAAUAAAAUACAACAAUGCUUUUAGAUUUGCAACUGUUUAAUCAGCAUUAGACUGCAAAUAUUGCCCAGGUUAGAAAUUCUGCACGAGUCAUGUAUAGACUAUUUGAGCAGAACCUCAAAAGAACCCUACAUCCUGAAGCACAAGCGUUGUGUAUCAGUGAAAGGAAAUUCCAAAACAUCGUGAAGGUACAAAUGAAGCCAAAAAUGUUACAGGGCAGCAUCACCUAGAGAGCACGGACCUAGAAGAGGGGCAUAGAAGGCAAGCAAACCACAGUGCACUGUGUUACAUCGGGCUGGACUAUGGGCAAUCACCCGUGAUGGCGUGUCGGCCGAUUCGGAGCUGAGGUCGGAACUAUGCCGGUAUGUUACCCACACCAGGGUCGCUGCCACCUACGGCGGGGCAAAACCCUAGGUCACCUCAUCGCCACCGCCACCGCCGCCACAUUGGGGGCUCGCUAUCGCUCCGUACGUCACCCGUGGAGGUGUGGAGGAGAACAAGGGCCGCGGUCAUCGUGCCGAGUGGCAGCCAAUGUGGAGGUCCACUUGUGCCACCGCCCUAUCCGCAUCGGAAGGGAUGGGGAGAGAGAGAGAGAACGGAAGGGAAGAGACUGUCGAGACUUAUACGCACGGUAGAUGGAGAAGGAGGGGGCUAGCGCUGCGCUGGCAUGGGGCGUCGUCGUGCCGUCGCCCCUGCCUCGGCCGCACCGCCCGUGGGGCGCUGUCGUCUCGUCGUAUCCACGUCGGGCUCGAGAGAGAGGAUGGGGAGGUUGUGCUAUUUUUUUAUGAGGAGUGGGGAGAGCGCGAGAUGUUGAGUGGAAGCCAACGUGGGCUGCUCCUGGCCACACAAAGGGAAUCAGCCAAUCAGGCUAAGAUGGACCAAUGGGUGGGUGAGGAGGUGAGGUGGCAUUGAGGUGCACCAAUGGCAGAUUUGAGGAGACGUGGCUGGGGUGGCGACACGGGGAGCAACUUAGAAUUGUUAGGGUAAAUUAGUCCAAAGAUUUUAGA